RNAcentral lists this ribosomal RNA (235 nucleotides) under uncultured Enterobacterales bacterium. RNAcentral's name for it is "partial 16S ribosomal RNA". It matches the Rfam family "Bacterial small subunit ribosomal RNA", at positions 96 to 334 of the family's 1533-position model. The record is from RNAcentral. Lineage: Bacteria; Pseudomonadati; Pseudomonadota; Gammaproteobacteria; Enterobacterales.
UGGCGGACGGGUGAGUAAUGUCUGGGAAACUGCCUGAUGGAGGGGGAUAACUACUGGAAACGGUAGCUAAUACCGCAUAACGUCGCAAGACCAAAGAGGGGGACCUUCGGGCCUCUUGCCAUCAGAUGUGCCCAGAUGGGAUUAGCUAGUAGGUGGGGUAACGGCUCACCUAGGCGACGAUCCCUAGCUGGUCUGAGAGGAUGACCAGCCACACUGGAACUGGGACACGGUCCAG